CUACAGCAACUACCAAUCACCCCCUUAGUAAAUACUAAACUUUACUCCAAACUUCAGCUCCUAAAUAAUAAAUCAUAAACUUUAAACAUCACCCUUCCAUCUAAACCCUAAACCCUAAUUACUGAACCCUAAAUCCAAAUAUAAACCUCAAACCCCAAUUAUCAAAAUCUGAAAAUAGUAUAUAUUAAACUAAAUCCAGACCUAAUUUUGAAUAGUAUAGGACUCCAAUCCAACACACAACUCCUCAAUGCUAAACUCAUACCUAAAUUUUGAAUACUAAACCCAAAAAUGCUAUCACUAAACCCAAAUCUAAACCCCCACCUUCUAAAUACUAAACCCUAAAUCCUAAUCACUAAACCAUAAACCCAAGCAUAGACUCUAAACUCAAAUAGAAUGAAACAAAAUACAUAGUAUAGUACAAACUGGUGAGUAAAAUAGAACACUCUUUAUUAAUCGUCAAUGGAACAUACAUAAUACAGUCACUAAACCCAAACUUCAACCCCCACCUUCCAAAUACUAAACCCUAAAUCUUAAUCACUAAACCCUAAACCCAAGUAUAAAC
Molecule: long non-coding RNA, 562 nt
Filed under: Brassica napus (rape)
Lineage: Eukaryota; Viridiplantae; Streptophyta; Magnoliopsida; Brassicales; Brassicaceae
Description: long non-coding RNA (BNAP_LNC007714)
Source: RNAcentral